RNAcentral lists this ribosomal RNA (468 nucleotides) under uncultured bacterium. RNAcentral describes it as "partial 16S ribosomal RNA". It matches the Rfam family "Bacterial small subunit ribosomal RNA", at positions 28 to 507 of the family's 1533-position model. The record is from RNAcentral.
GACGAACGCUGGCGGCGUGCUUAACACAUGCAAGUCGAACGGAAAGGCCCUGCUUUUGUGGGGUGCUCGAGUGGCGAACGGGUGAGUAACACGUGAGUAACCUGUCCUUGACUUUGGGAUAACUUCAGGAAACUGGGGCUAAUACCGGAUAGGAGCUCCUGCUGCAUGGUGGGGGUGGGAAAGUUUCGGCGGUUGGUGAUGGACUCGCGGCUUAUCAGCUUGUUGGUGGGGUAGUGGCUUACCAAGGCUUUGACGGGUAGCCGGCCUGAGAGGGUGACCGGCCACAUUGGGACUGAGAUGCGGCCCAGACUCCUACGGGAGGCAGAAGUGGGGAGUAUUGCACAAUGGGCGGAAGCCUGGUGCAGCAACGCCGCGUGCGGGAUGACGGCCUUCGGGUUGUAAACCGCUUUCGCCUGUGACGAAGCGUGAGUGACGGUAAUGGGUGAAGAAGCACCGGCUAACUACGUG